GUCGCAAUCCACAUAUAUACAGCACAUGCAUUCUAAAUUACAUUACAAUACAAUACAAUACAAUACAAUACAAGCUUUAAUUCCCAAACUAAAUGUCUAAUAUUAGGUGUGACAAGUUGUGAUGACGAGCCCUGUCAAAAUGGAGCAACAUGUAUCCAAGAAGGACAGAACUAUGACUGUGAGUGUCCUGUUGGUUUCCGUGGAGUGCACUGUGACACAGAGGUUGAAGAACUCCGUCCGUGUAAUAGUAAUCCAUGUCAAAACGAUGGUACAUGCGUGCAUUUGAAUAAUGAGUAUCUUUGCUCGUGUCGUGAUGGCUACAUGGGGCCACAGUGUUCAUCUCACAUAGAUGACACCGGAGAAAAAGAUGAACAGACAGAUGAUAAUGAUUUUGAAUUAGCUAUAGAACCCUGGUGGAUUGCAUUAAUAGUUUUGGUUUCACUUCUACUCGUUGUCUUUAUUCUUAUAGUAAUUUUCACAAGGGGCAGAAACAAGAAAAGUGACGAUGUGUCAUAAUGUCGUACGCAGAGGGUUGUAAACUAACUGACUUGAUACUGUGUCACCUUUACCUUGAAAAAAUAACCUUGAAUCAAUUUACAAAUUGUCCCACUGAAUUGUUAUCACUGUCCAAAGUGUGUACAUUUAAUAUCGAAG
This is a long non-coding RNA of Saccoglossus kowalevskii, 654 nucleotides long. Lineage: Eukaryota; Metazoa; Hemichordata; Enteropneusta; Harrimaniidae. The record is from RefSeq and is a predicted model, not a curated record.